Molecule: ribosomal RNA, 1916 nt
Filed under: uncultured Prochlorococcus sp. MB11F02
Lineage: Bacteria; Bacillati; Cyanobacteriota; Cyanophyceae; Synechococcales; Prochlorococcaceae
Description: bacterial LSU rRNA
Rfam family: Bacterial large subunit ribosomal RNA
Source: RNAcentral
GUUAUUGGUCAAGCUACAAAGGGCUCACGGAGGAUACCUAGGCACACAGAGGCGAUGAAGGACGUGGUUACCUGCGAUAAGUCUCGGGGAGUUGGAAGCACACUUUGAUCCGGGAAUUUCCGAAUGGGGCAACCCCUUGAACGACCAACUGAAUAUAUAGGUUGGUGCGAGCUAACCCAGCGAACUGAAACAUCUUAGUAGCUGGAGGAAGAGAAAGUAAAUAACGACUCCCUCAGUAGCGGCGAGCGAACGGGGAAUAGCCCAAACCGAUAGUCUUGACUAUCGGGGUUGUGGGACAGCAAUAUGGAUCAACAAGUCUAGAAGAAACGUUUGAAUGGCGUGCCACAGAGGGUGAAAGCCCCGUAAUUGAAAGAUAAGUUGACCUAGCUGUAUCCCGAGUAGCACGGAGCACGUGGAAUUCCGUGUGAAUCUGCGAGGACCACCUCGUAAGGCUAAGUACCUACUGUGUGACCGAUAGUGAAACAGUACCGCGAGGGAAAGGUGAAAAGAACCCCGGGAGGGGAGUGAAAUAGAACAUGAAACCGUGAGCUUACAAGCAAUGGGAGCCCGACUAAUCGGGUGACCGUGUGCCUGUUGAAGAAUGAGCCGGCGACUUAUAGGCACUGGCGGGUUAAACCGGAAAUGGUGGAGCCACAGCGAAAGCGAGUCUUAAUAGGGCGUUUGUCAGUGUUUAUAGACCCGAACCCUGGUGAUCUAACCAUGGCCAGGAUGAAGCUUGGGUGAUACCAAGUGGAGGUCCGAACCGACUGAAGUUGAAAAUUCAGCGGAUGAGCUGUGGUUAGGGGUGAAAUGCCAAUCGAACCAGGAGCUAGCUGGUUCUCCCCGAAAUACGUUGAGGCGUAGCGUCUAGUGCUCCAGCAGGGGGGUAAAGCAACCAUUUCGGUGCGGGCUGCGAAAGCGGUACCAAAUCGAUAUGAACUCUGAAUACCCUGUGUGUAACUAGGCAGUCAGACUGUGGGGGAUAAGCUCCAUAGUCAAGAGGGAAACAGCCCAGACCGCCAGCUAAGGUCCCAAAAUUAACGCUAAGUGAUAAAGGAGGUGGGAUUGCCCAGACAACCAGGAGGUUUGCCUAGAAGCAGCCAUCCUCAAAGGAGUGCGUAAUAGCUCACUGGUCGAGCGAUCCUGCGCCGAAAAUGAAUGGGGCUAAGCGUUAUACCGAAGCUGCGGAUAAAUUUAUUUAUGGUAGGGGAGCGUUCUAUGUUGGGUGAAGCGUUAGCGUAAGCGGACGUGGACGAUAUAGAAGUGAGAAUGUCGGCUUGAGUAGCGAAAACAUGGGUGAGAAUCCCAUGCCCCGAAACCCUAAGGGUUCCUCCGGCAGGCUCGUCCGCGGAGGGUUAGUCUGGACCUAAGGCGAGGCCGAAAGGCGUAGUCGAUGGAUAACAGGUCAAUAUUCCUGUACCAGUUAUGUUUUGGGAAGGGGGACGGAGAAGGCUAGCCAGGCCAGAUGUUGGUUACUGGUUCAAGCGUUCAAGGCUUUGAGAGAUGGAGAAAACAUCUUGAGCUGAGGCGUGAGUACGAGCUGCUACGGCAGCGAAGUUGGUGAUGUCAUGCUUCCAAGAAAAGCCCUAUACCCGUUAAGACAUAAGUGCCAGUACCCGAAACCGACACAGGUGGGGUGGUAGAGAAUACCGAGGGGCGCGAGAUAACUCUCUCUAAGGAACUCGGCAAAAUGGCCCCGUAACUUCGGGAGAAGGGGUGCCAGCGAGAGCUGGUCGCAGUGAAGAGGCGCAAGCGACUGUUUACCAAAAACACAGGUCUCCGCUAAGUCGCAAGACGAUGUAUGGGGGCUGACACCUGCCCAGUGCCGGAAGGUUAAGGAAGCUGGUUAGCUUUUAGCAAAGCUAGCGACUGAAGCCCCGGUGAACGGCGGCCGUAAGUAUAAGGGUCUUAAGGUA